Long non-coding RNA from Vicia villosa (hairy vetch), 2621 nucleotides. RefSeq lists it as uncharacterized. The transcript has 3 exons. The record is from RefSeq and is a predicted model, not a curated record. NCBI's taxonomy places the organism in Eukaryota, Viridiplantae, Streptophyta, Magnoliopsida, Fabales, Fabaceae.
GAAAGCGCUUUCAGUAAGCGCUGCCUUAGGGCUUUAGAAAAUGUCGAAACUCCUUCUUGAUUCUCUGUGUCCCGACCUUCAUCUUCUCCAACCACGUUUUCUUCUCCGAUCACGUUUUCCAGCCACAAACUUCCGACCUCCGCCGCCAUUACAGAAACUCCUUCAAUCUCUUUCACUGGUAAGCCCUAAAAACUUCAUCCCUGUCUUCUCUCCCUCUGUGCAACGCCGAUUUCCCACUCGUCUUCUUCUUCUUCAUUUCUUCUGUUUCAAUGGCUUCCGUUUGAAUUCGAGCAUCCUUUCUCACUCUUCUCAGUUCGAAAUCCAUUCUUUUGUGCGUUUCGUCUAUGGUGAUUUCAUGUAUGGUUGCGAAAAUUAGGGCAUCAAUUUCACUUUCCAACUCACAUCAAGUUCACCUUCUAUAGAUUAAACUGUUUACUGCACCCAUACUUCCCCAGAUUAUUCUCUUCCCUGGCAAAAACAGAGACAAUUUACAAGCACCGGAAGGCAAGACUUUGAAUACCUUAAACUGCAAAAUAAUAUGAAUAAAUAUCUCUUAAAUUGAACUAACAGGCCACUCGUUAUGCAGUGCGUUUAUGAUUGGAGACAGGAAAAUAUUAACCAUCGCACAUUGUAUGGAGCACGAUACCCAAAUAUUAUGCUAUAAGCCUUAUACGACAGCAUUAGAAAGAAUCUCAGACAAGUACAGCAUUAGAAAUUUUGUACAAGAGAAAGAAUUCAACAAGACAAGCUUUAAGGAAUUAAACAGAAUAUCAAGAUACAUGAAGUCUCGUUACAACAAGAAGAUCACAUGAAUAGAAGAUCAGAAGUUCUGAUAGAGUAACGCAGUGACAUAGAAAAGCUACAACAACAAAGGCACACGUGGACAAGAAAAGAAAAUACAAUUUCAGCCUACCAAAGUGCAAAAGAUCAGAAUCAAAAGAAAAAAACCGUUACAAACAUCAUCAUUAGCAAAACGGUUGCAACAAAUUAAUGGAACAACUCCCAAGGUUGAUUAAAGAAGCAACCCACAUGCAGCGCGUUGAAAAAGACAAGCUUAGCCAAGGAAACACGCAACCAACUGUCAUCAUCACGCUAAGGAUAAGAUUCUGCCAAGAACAAAACUUGUCAUUCAUGAUUCAAUCGAGACAAAGCAUUCAAAGAAAAUCUUCAAAAAAUCUCAACGGCUAUAUUCCAACGGUAACUCAUCAAGCUAUAUAUAUAGAUCAAACUUCAAGCUUGAAUGUGUGUCCAUUGUACACCAAAAUUGCAUUGAGUGUGCAUCCAAAGUGUGUAUCCAUGGUGCGACUACAGAGUGCAGCAAAAGAGAAAUCUUGAGAGGAAAUCUGUAGAGAGAAGCUGAGCAUCAAAGUAUAAAUGAAGAAAUGUGAGAUCAUGCUUCAGAAUUUACAUUAAGAGGCAACAUACACAAAGUUUGUGAUGAAUCAAUUAUGUUGAAAUACACAUCAGAUGCCUAAGAGAAGAAAAUCUAAAAGAGUGAAAGAGGAAAUCCUACUGUUAAGCAAUAUUCUCCAAUGGAGUUAUAAGAAGUUCACUAAUACCUAAUCAGUCCCUAUAUUGUUCAUAUUGGAUGACAAAAGAAACUGAAUACACUGAGUUGUUGCUCGAAUAGUGUUUCAUGUUUACUUAUGAUCAUUAAAUAUGUUAUCAGCCGUAACAAGCUUCAUGAUCAGUAUUCAAGAAGAAGAUGAAGAACUACAAGAAGCAAUCAACAUAAUAGUUGGUGCUCCAUAUCUGCUCAUGAAGAUGAAAAGAAGAUGGUCUUACAAGAAGUAAUUAAUUUCAAAGAGCUGAAGCUCUCAUCUCCUUAAUCAGACAAGAAAAGACCAAAACUGAAAGAAGCAAUUAAUACAAGAGCUGCUGCUCUUAAUCUGCUUUCAGAAGAAGAUGAAGAUCACUUGAAGAAGCAACCUAAAAUAGAGUUGUUGCUCGAAAUAUGCUUGAAGAAGAAAUGAAGAUAAAAUCAGAAGCAAUCAGCAGUAGAGUUGUUGCUCUAAAUCAGCUUAAGAAGAUUUAAAGACGAAGAUCAGCAUGAAGAAGCACUCAAUAUUCGGAGCUUAUGCUCAUAUUUUGCUUAUCAACAGACAUGCAAAUAUCUCAUCCAGAAGACAAAUCCAAGAAGAAUACAAGAUGUUUUAAGUCUUGUAAUUAAAUGUAAAACACAUAGAGUUGUUGCUCGUAGUGUAUUAUAUUUUAGGAAACUUCUGAUAGGAUGUUUAGGCACCAGAAGUGACUUCUAGUCAGUGUGUUGUAAACAAAUAUACUUAGACAUAGGAGAAAAUCUGCUUAACUAAGAAGCACACUUGUAAUCUCCAGAAGAUUGAUGAACGUUAUAUCCUGAUGGGAUCACUGAACGGUUCAUCAUUUGUAGUUAGUCACGAGCAGUUGGCUUGUGCAGGAUUAGUCACAACAGGUUGUUUGUGCAAGGGUUACUUAGAAUAUUCACGCAGAAUGUCUUCAGAACUGUACUGAGACAAGUCAGAAGUUCUGAUGAUAUAAAGAAGUUAAAAUGAAUAUCUCAUUGGUUAUGCAACUCCAUUCCAAACAUGUUUCCGCAACAUUAAAGCAUAUUAAGAAGAUGAUAUACUAAGAGAAAGAAAAGA